UGCUUGUGCUACUGUUGAUGAAUUGAAGAAGUUGCUACAGGUUUGGUUUCUAAAGUUUUAGUGAGGUUUUGAUUGUGACAACCACUUUACUCCGCAUGAUUGGAACCUGACUCCAAAUCUGGAUGCUGUACAGUGACAUUGUCAAGUCCAGCUUACCUUUCCACUUGCAACAUUUAUGACACUGUCAUCACAGGAAAUCUGUAGAAUAUAGAUCAUGAAUUGAUUCCAAGAGCUUAGGCACUGUUUUCUUUGGAUCCACAUUAGUAGCAGCUUCGAAGGCUUCCAUAGAAGAUUUGUAAAUGGUUGGUGAGUGAGAGAUGAUACAUUCAUUCACGUGGUUAAUUUGUUUGAGAGGUUUAAGCAUUUCAAAGCAUAUGAUAAUCUGUUUGGGACUUUCUUUCUUUGAAUAUGCAAGUAAUCUAUUAUUUUCUUGCCACACUAAGACCAAGGAUUAAUGGGUAUAGAUUGCCAUUCAUAAAAAAUGUGAGGACUCACGUUUUGACUCUAACAACCUUGUGAGCAUAAUUCAUUCCCUAAUCUAAUC
RNAcentral lists this long non-coding RNA (544 nucleotides) under Lupinus angustifolius (narrow-leaved blue lupine). RNAcentral describes it as "long non-coding RNA (LANG_LNC003120)". Lineage: Eukaryota; Viridiplantae; Streptophyta; Magnoliopsida; Fabales; Fabaceae. The record is from RNAcentral.